AGAGCUUUAAUGAAUCUACAUACUUCAGCUGCUUUUAUCAAGCCAAAAUCCGAAACAUCUGAGCCAGAGACAUCAAGGAUUUCCCAGGAAGCAUCAGCUAACGCAAUCAAGACAUCAUUACUCACCAACUUUCUUCGUCUAGCAAUAGCUGCCACUGCUAACUUAAUAUCACCUGGCAAGCCGAUAGCAAUCUCUUCCAAAUCUUCAAUAAUAUCCUCCAAAUGUCUUCCAAGAACUCCAAUGCAAAGGUUGACUAGACUUUGAGGCUUUUUCUUCUUAGAUAGAAAUCCGGGAAACUGAGGAUGGUUGAUUACUGCAAUGGAGGACUUGGAUUUGAAAUU
Molecule: long non-coding RNA, 341 nt
Filed under: Lathyrus oleraceus (garden pea)
Lineage: Eukaryota; Viridiplantae; Streptophyta; Magnoliopsida; Fabales; Fabaceae
Description: Pisum sativum (pea) long non-coding RNA (PSAT_LNC027598)
Source: RNAcentral